This 253-nucleotide ribosomal RNA is filed under the name uncultured bacterium. RNAcentral's name for it is "partial 16S ribosomal RNA". It matches the Rfam family "Bacterial small subunit ribosomal RNA", at positions 524 to 776 of the family's 1533-position model. The record is from RNAcentral.
UACGGAGGGGGCGAGCGUUGUCCGGAAUCAUUGGGCGUAAAGGGCGCGUAGGUGGCUUCUUAAGCGUGCGGUGAAAGCCUGGGGCUCAACCCCGGGUCGGCCGUGCGAACUGGGGGGCUGGAGCACUGUAGAGGCAGGCGGAAUUCCGGGUGUAGCGGUGGAAUGCGUAGAGAUCCGGAAGAACACCGGUGGCGAAGGCGGCCUGCUGGGCAACUGCUGACACUGAGGCGCGACAGCGUGGGGAGCAAACAGG